Long non-coding RNA from Oryzias melastigma (Indian medaka), 348 nucleotides. RefSeq lists it as uncharacterized. NCBI's taxonomy places the organism in Eukaryota, Metazoa, Chordata, Actinopteri, Beloniformes, Adrianichthyidae. The transcript has 3 exons. The record is from RefSeq and is a predicted model, not a curated record.
UUUUUGAAGCAGAUAAACUCACCUCAUAUUUCCCAACCAAACAACUGUCUCCCAAAGUGUUCCUGCUUCGCCGUCCCGCCUCCGCAGCUCUGCAGUAAUGACGGUCUAAUGGAAUUUUACGGAGAUCCACUCUGCCAUCAAGCUCUGGUUACUUCUGCUGAUUUCAUCAAGGUCACACAUUUCCCAAACAGGCUCAUCAACAUGAGCGCACGGCUUGACUGAUCUAUCUACUGAUCAGCAAAGAGCAAAAAACAGAGGUAUAGCGGCGCUGGAGUCAACAAAGGAAGAGGUGGUAAACCCACCAAAAUGAGAAAAGAUGCUGUAGGGUCAUUUUUACCAUCAAUUAAC